GUGUGGCAGGCUGCUGGAAAACUGGGAUGUGCAGAUGAACUUUUUCAGGACCCUUUGCACAGGGAGGUUUGUUUAAAGGCUAUUUUGAGAAUGUAGUAACUGGACCAUGAAGCCUUUGAGACAUCAUCAUUAAUUAGGCACAGUACUAGAGUGGAUGUGCUGGACUCCAAAGAUGGACUUCUCUGUAUAGCGUCAGGAACCUUGCAUGCAAAGCAGGGACUGAGGGGAACCAAAUGGCCAGCAUUCUCAGACCCACACCUAGGCAGAGGUGCAGCUUGGGAAACAGAAGCUGGUGAAGGUCCCUGUUGGAAGCUGAGUUCCAGAGCCAGUUCCAGGACCCUAUGCUCCUGGAGGCUCACCGGGCAGUGUUGAGUGCCAACAAGUAUGAUGACUUAGACAUGACGAUGAUUUCCCUGUGACAACAUGGGCUUUGUCUUUGUGGACAGGUCUGAACACACCCACGGGGCACACAGAACAGACAGCCAAGACAGACUUGGAGAAGAACACAGUCAAGUCCCUCUUGGAUAGCUGGAGGCUGUUUUCCAAUGUGCAGACAAGUAGAUCAACAUGUGGUCAAGUGGGAAAUCACCUGUGAGGGCUUAGACUGUUUGUCUCUGAGAACUGAAGGCUCUGCCUGCAGCCAAAACUUCAUUUUUGAUGGCAAAUACACUGUAGAUCCAGAGCUGGCUUUUGCUUGUUUUGUCAUUUCUGAUAGUCUCAGGGUCAUCUAUCACACGAGACAGCAAACUUGGCCUUGCUUGGCUUUGGAAAUAACCUUCUAUUUGUCAAUCACUCCUGCUGUAUUAUGGGCUUGGAGAUGGAGAGGUUGAUAUGUGGCCUUUGCCACAGUACAGGACAGUAAAGAGGGCUCCAGCUCCCUGGCAGAUGAGGCACCCUG
This 898-nucleotide long non-coding RNA is filed under the name Mus musculus (house mouse). RNAcentral's name for it is "long non-coding RNA chr2:70856688-70857586". The record is from RNAcentral. Lineage: Eukaryota; Metazoa; Chordata; Mammalia; Rodentia; Muridae.